AGCAGCCGCGGUAAUUCCAGCUCCAAUAGCGUAUAUUAAAGUUGUUGCAGUUAAAAAGCUCGUAGUUGAAUUUCGGGGUUAGUAGGUUGGUCAUGCCUCUGGUAUGUACUGGUCUCACUGAUUCCUCCUUCCUGAUGAACCGUAAUGCCAUUAAUUUGGUGUUGCGGGGAAUUUGGACUGUUACUUUGAAAAAAUUAGAGUGUUUAAAGCAAGCUAACGCUUGAAUACAUUAGCAUGGAAUAAUGAAAUAGGGCGCUCGAUCCUAUUUUGUUGGUUUCUAGGAUUGACGUAAUGAUUAAUAGGGAUAGUUGGGGGCAUUAGUAUUCAAUUGUCAGAGGUGAAAUUCUUGGAUUUAUUGAAGACUAACUACUGCGAAAGCAUUUGCCAAGGAUGUUUUCAUUAAUCAAGAACGAAAGUUAGGGGAUCGAAGACGAUCAGAUACCGUCGUAGUCUUAACCAUAAACUAUGCCGACUAGGGAUCGGAUGAUGUUAAUUUUUAAUGACUCAUUCGGCGCCUUAA
Molecule: ribosomal RNA, 520 nt
Filed under: uncultured Glomus
Lineage: Eukaryota; Fungi; Glomeromycota; Glomeromycetes; Glomerales; Glomeraceae
Description: SSU rRNA
Rfam family: Eukaryotic small subunit ribosomal RNA
Source: RNAcentral